CUUCCGACCUCAUCAUCAUGUUCAAGCUCUUUCCUUUCUUCAAUGACUUGUGGCUCUUCCUUUGGCAAGCUCUUGACUUCGUUGGGUUGGUCCCUUUUGCCAUUUUCAACCUCUUCUUUGUCUUCGGAAGGGGUUUGCAGUUGCAAGGAAGAAGAUGCAUGCUUGUUGAAUUUUUCUUCGACGCAUGUUUGCACUAUCUCUUCUUGCUUCUUCUUGAUGAUAUGCUCAUGGCUUGCCCCAA
RNAcentral lists this long non-coding RNA (241 nucleotides) under Phoenix dactylifera (date palm). RNAcentral's name for it is "long non-coding RNA (PDAC_LNC001514)". Lineage: Eukaryota; Viridiplantae; Streptophyta; Magnoliopsida; Arecales; Arecaceae. The record is from RNAcentral.